GCUAGUAAUGGCAGGUCAGCAUACUGCCGUGAAUACGUUCCCGGGCCUUGUACACACCGCCCGUCACACCAUGAGAGUUGGGGAUACCCGAAGCCUGUGAGCUAACUUAAAGAGGCAGCAGUCGAAGGUAGAGCCAAUGAUUGGGGUGAAGUCGUAACAAGGUACC
This 166-nucleotide ribosomal RNA is filed under the name uncultured bacterium. Its description in RNAcentral is "partial 16S ribosomal RNA". It matches the Rfam family "Bacterial small subunit ribosomal RNA", at positions 1334 to 1500 of the family's 1533-position model. The record is from RNAcentral.